UUAUUAUUACUCUGCUUAUCCCUUUUUUCAUCAUGUGGUCGGACACGCGGUGUUAAUUCCUAAUCCACCGUAACCUCUAGAUUCAGAUCAACAGUCUUUUGUUCUGUUGUUACGAUUUCUAUCCUAAGUUCUUUUACUACCAAGUUGGUUAAGUAAAUUUAGUCCUUGUCCGAUGAUACAAUUUUUACCCCUCGGUUAGCUGACCCCUUCCAGACAUCGUUCAACUUCCCAACUUCCCCCCUCACGCCGCGCCGCGAAGCUGUAAUGACGAGAUGCGAAGCAGACGUCCUUGCGGUCAUACGCUCAUCCCGUUCUUCGCCCAAAGCGGAACCGUAUACGAUAAGAUUUUUUGGACACUCCUAAGUGGGUUAAAAAUGGCCAAGAACGGCGUAGUCACAAAAACACGACGUGGCCGACGCAGGGUUAACUUUACACCUGGCACGGCGUAUUGUCAAUAAUUCUUACCAUUAAUCCUAUGAGAUUGCGGACCAAGUCGCUAGAGGUGAACUGUCAUGUUGGGCAUUAUUUUUCUUAUUUUAGAAUUGAACGAUUUGUGUACAUGUUUGAUGGAGAACAUGUUUGGUUUACAUGAUUCUGUAGCUUCUAACUCAUGGUAGAUUUGUAUUUACUAACUUUGAGAUUGCCAAUAGCCUUCGAUAAAUGCGUGGAUGUGUUAACCUGGAAACAGGAAAAAAUUUCGAUUCUAUUUACACCAGAGAAUUGUGGAAGCGAAGAUUACAAAACAUCUUAUCACGUAUGGACGCAAAACUACAAGUAGAUGAGGAUUCCGGCGCAGUUUAGCAGUAAGUUCAACUUCUUCGAAGCAGCAUUGGCUGCGUUCUCAACGUUUUACCGCGAAAAUUUAAGUCUAGGAAGUGUUUCGAAGAAUAUUGUAAAAUCUUUUCACAAGUGAAUGUGCGAGUUGUAUGGAAAGUAAGAAAGUGAUUACCUAUUACAGUAUUGCAAUUUUGAAUCGCAAACUUUGUUGUAUCAGAAAAAUUAUUGCGAACCUCUUACGUGCUAAGGAAACUCGGUGUAUUCAAAGAAUAUUUGUGAGAAAAUCAAACAAACGAAUUGGUUGAUGGGUUGAGGAUUUUUUUGAGAUAUUCGUCGGACCAUGACUAUUUUGAUAUGUGUAUUCUGUGUAUUUUGGCUAUAACUAUGGACAUAAUAAUCUUGGCGAAAUGAGCCUAUGCACUGUUCUCUCUCGUGAACAGAUGUCGAUAUACUGUCUAAGAGCGAAAAGGUUUUCGUCUCAUAAUCGUUGUGUACGAUCCUUCGUGCACUAAUUGAACCCUGAGAACGCUAGAAAAGAUAUCUGGGACACCAUGGAACCAACGGCUUAGGAAAUUGAGAGAAAGUUGAACUAUAGUUGAAAACUACAAAAAUAAU
Molecule: long non-coding RNA, 1392 nt
Filed under: Neodiprion pinetum (white pine sawfly)
Lineage: Eukaryota; Metazoa; Arthropoda; Insecta; Hymenoptera; Diprionidae
Description: uncharacterized LOC124220586, transcript variant X3
Source: RNAcentral